This is a long non-coding RNA of Ziziphus jujuba (common jujube), 536 nucleotides long. RefSeq lists it as uncharacterized. Lineage: Eukaryota; Viridiplantae; Streptophyta; Magnoliopsida; Rosales; Rhamnaceae. The record is from RefSeq and is a predicted model, not a curated record. The transcript has 2 exons.
AUUCCAUAGUGGGCUUUUAAUAGAUUGAACUGUACAAUUUUGGGUUUCAUUCGUAGCCCAUUUCAAAAGGCCCAACCUGAAUCCACUUGUAAUUUUAGGCUAUGGCGGUACCAUCAAACUAGGGUUUCUUACCCCACCCACUAUAACUAUUUGCAAAGCCCCGAAGCUUACAGUUCUCUAGUUUCCCAUUUUACUUUCCCAUCAGCCUCAUCUGGACGAUUAGGGUUUACAUCGAAUUUUAGCGGCAGGGUCACCAUGAGAGCCAAGUGGAAGAAGAAGCGUAUGAGGAGGUUGAAGAGGAAGCGCCGAAAGAUGAGACAGAGAUCCAAGUAGUUUCAUAAUAAAAUCGGCAUCGUGUAUUUUCUUUUUGUGUUUUUUGUUUUUCUUUUCCUUCUCUUUUUGUUGUCUAAUCAGUAUCGAUUAGAGAGUAAUAGAGGGCUUUUUUCUGUUUUUCUAUUAAGUCUGUUUUUUGAACCUUAGUAUGAGCUUAAAACUAAAAUUUCAAUAUUACGCAUUUGCCAUCCUUUUUAAUCCUA